GCAGAAGAUGGCCUCGCAGAAGAAGAGGUUCUUGCAAGCUGCCUUCCUGUUCCUCGCAGUGGCUCUUGGUGAGUUUGCGUGAGCGAACAUGCUGGGUGCCAGCUUUCUGCUGGCCAGCUUUCCUUCCAGGCCAGUGCGUGUGUGGAAAGUCCCCUGGCCCAAGUGCUUCCUGAGUAUGUCCUUGAGUGGCACUUGCUUUUGGACUACCAGUAAGACUGGGAGUCUCCAGCCAUGCUGCUGCUUGGCCACUAGUGCAAAUGGCCUGCUCAGUCUGCAAGCCAGUGAGAGAAGGGUGUAGGUAGGUAUUUCCAAGCCUGAACUGGGGGCUCCCAGAGGGGCCGCACAGGGGGACUGGUGGAGAGGUGCCUCUCCUAGCCCUUGCAGCCUGGUCUCAGUGCUCACCGAAGCCACGAGGGGAAAUGGGGAGCAGCUCUGGGGCACUGAGCACACCUGAAGAGCACGGCUGCGCAGUCCCCUCAAGCCUGGGGGGAUGGCUCCUGGUCAGAGGCACGUCCUCUCUCUGCACCCCACGUUACCCCACCAGAUGCCCCAGCCCCAAGGCAACAGGGAGGAGACAAGGUGACUGCAGGCAUGGCUGGCAACCCCAGGCAAAUAACUGUCUCUUUGUGAUGUGAAUUGCAGCUGGUGGUAACUGCUGGACCUCGCUGCCACUGUGGAGCAUGCACGCCAAGGGCCUGGUGGAGGAGCUGACACGUGUGUCUCUAGCACACCUGGAGACCCUGCGCAAUCUGCCUGCUUUGUGGUUCAAGGAACCCCGAAAGUUGGACCUUCUGCUGGAGGAGGUGGCUCAGCUGAAGGCAGAGCUCAACAGUGCAGAGAAGGUGACCCUGCAUUUUGGGGAAGGAGGGUUGGCUGGGCAGAACCCCCGAGAAAGCCCUCCUUGGGGGAGUUGUUGGGCUCAGACGGCUGGCCACAAGAACACAGCCUUUGCCAGGGGCUGGCUGGGAGAGCUGCUGUGCUGCACAGGCUCUUCUCUGGGCCCAGUUUAUCUGGGCUGCUUCAGGCAGUGGAGGACUCCCAGCAGCCUUCCCUUGGCAUGCCGGGGCCUCUGCCUGCUCUGGAUGGGGCCCCGAGGCAGUGGUGAGACCCAAGCAUGCUCACGGGGUCACCCAAUGCCAGCAGGGCCUGGGACCAUCUCCCGACUGACCUGGAGAGCGUGGAGGGUGGGGACGGGACAGUGGGGACCCUCAUCAACCCGCCUCGGGGCUGUGGCCAUGGCCACAGAGACUGUUCCUCAGGCCUCGUGUCUCACACCAGCGGCAGAGCGUCUCUGGGCUCUGUGGACAAGGCUUGACUUGCACCUCUGACGCGGACCCUUUGCCUCUGCAGGCGCUAGUAGCCACGCUGCUCUGCCCGCUGACAUGGUCCCUUUCUGUGUUCAUUCACAGCUUUACCAGGAAGUUCAGGACAGCAAGCAGGCAGUGCCUUCGGAAGUCUGUGACACAAUGUUUGACUGGGCCCUGAAAAGCUCUGGUACGGACACAAGCAGCCCCACCUCCUUGCCCUGCGCUUGCCUGUAGCACUCCCCAGAGGAGGCCGUGCUCUCCAGAGUGGGGCAGCUGAAAUGCUCCCUGGGGUCCCCGAGCCAGGCUGUGGCCGAGCGGCUCUCUCGGGCUCCCUCCCAGUCCUGCCCUUGGCCCCUGCGCGGGUGCCUCUGGCGCUGCCCACGCACACGUUGAUGUGCU
Athene cunicularia (burrowing owl) is the source of this 1706-nucleotide long non-coding RNA. NCBI's taxonomy places the organism in Eukaryota, Metazoa, Chordata, Aves, Strigiformes, Strigidae. The record is from Ensembl.